GACGUCCUGCCGGUGGCGGUCCGUGCUCUCGGGUGUGUGUAGGUUCGCCGAAGCACCCCGUCUGUCGCGGCCGCCGAUUCAAUCCCGCCGCGGUGCUCUUGACUGAGUGUCGAGGUGGGCCGGCACGUUUACUUUGAACAAAUUAGAGUGCUUAAAGCAGGCUGAUUUCCGCCUGAAUACUGUGUGCAUGGAAUAAUGGAAUAGGACUUCGGUUCUAUUUUGUUGGUUUUAAGAAUCCGAAGUAAUGAUUAAUAGGGACAGGCGGGGGCAUUCGUAUUGCGACGUUAGAGGUGAAAUUCUUGGAUCGUCGCAAGACGUACCUAAGCGAAAGCAUUUGCCAAGUAUGUCCUCGUUAAUCAAGAACGAAAGUUAGAGGUUCGAAGGCGAUCAGAUACCGCCCUAGUUCUAACCAUAAACGAUGCCAGCCAGCAAUCCGCCAAAGUUCCUCCGAUGACUUGGCGGGCGGCUUCCGGGAAACCAAAGCUUUUGGGUUCCGGGGGAAGUAUGGUUGCAAAGCUGAAACUUAAAGGAAUUGACGGAAGGGCACCACCAGGAGUGGAGCCUGCGGCUUAAUUUGACUCAACACGGGAAACCUCACCAGGCCCGGACACUGGAAGGAUUGACAGAUUGAUAGCUCUUUCUUGAUUCAGUGGGUGGUGGUGCAUGGCCGUUCUUAGUUGGUGGAGCGAUUUGUCUGGUUAAUUCCGAUAACGAACGAGACUCUAGCCUGCUAACUAGGCGUUUCCGGUAUCCACAAUAGUGCUACCGGCGAAUAAAUUUCUUCUUAGAGGGACAGGCGGCUUCUAGCCGCACGAGACUGAGCAAUAACAGGUCUGUGAUGCCCUUAGAUGUCCUGGGCCGCACGCGCGCUACACUGAAGGAAUCAGCGUGUUUUCCCUGGCCGAAAGGUCCGGGUAACCCGUUGAACCUCCUUCGUGCUAGGGAUUGGGGCUUGCAAUUGUUCCCCAUGAACGAGGAAUUCCCAGUAAGCGCGAGUCAUAAGCUCGCGUUGAUUACGUCCCUGCCCUUUGUACACACCGCCCGUCGCUACUACCGAUUGAAUGAUUUAGUGAGGUCUUCGGACUGGUGCGCGACGAACGCCUCGUGCGGUCGCCGA
This 1117-nucleotide ribosomal RNA is filed under the name Aetalion reticulatum. Its description in RNAcentral is "SSU rRNA". It matches the Rfam family "Eukaryotic small subunit ribosomal RNA", at positions 729 to 1747 of the family's 1831-position model. Lineage: Eukaryota; Metazoa; Arthropoda; Insecta; Hemiptera; Aetalionidae. The record is from RNAcentral.